Kogia breviceps (pygmy sperm whale) is the source of this 1207-nucleotide non-coding RNA. Lineage: Eukaryota; Metazoa; Chordata; Mammalia; Artiodactyla; Physeteridae. The record is from RefSeq and is a predicted model, not a curated record.
AAGAUGUUGUCUUUUCCUGGUAAUUUUCUUAGUAAUCAGAAUCAGCAGCUUGCACUGCUCUAGGGACCCUGGAAAUGUUCAAUAUUUGGUUCUCUUGGGGAAAAAUUUUCCACUGAUGAGUGAAUGAGUGUGAAUGGUCAAUUCUAAGGGAGGAGUUUCAAAGGUGACUUCUCUUACAGUGAUCAUCCUGCUCCUUUUUCAAAAGCAUGAAGCAUCUAUCUUAACGGUACCCUUCAUCUUUGAAGACAGCUCACUUCUCCAGAGAAGCCUUCCCUGUCUUUAUAUCAGCCUAUUCAGCUUCCCCUGAAAUCUGAAAUUUGCCAGCCAGAUAAAAGAUGAAGUUUUUGUCAAUCUGAAGGGGAUCCCAAUACAGAGCCAUGGAUGCUGAGUGACAUGUCUGCACAUUUAGUCCUAAAAUAUGUAGCCCUGAAUCCAGAGAAAAUAGCCUAGCCUUGGAAGAGUUGAAGUCACAAGCUUGAAAAGCUUAAACAAAGAGAAGCCAUGAGGUAUGCUUACAGCCCUUUAAUAAAUAACUUAUUUAUAUUGAGCAUAUUCCCAACCCAAUUUCAUGAAUUGGCCCUUCUAAGAAUUUGCAAAGUUGGAGGACAAAGUAGUAUCUUAUUUAAUGGUAAACAAGACCAGCAUACGUCAAAAUCUUCUGCUGUAUGCCACGUGAAAGAAGUAGGAAAGUGACAAAGAAAUGGCCAUUGACCCAGAUGACAUAUAAAGACCAGGUCCAUUAGUAGUCAUGCCUACAAACAUUUUACAAAUGAACAUUGAGAAGACAGUCUUGUAAGUUUUUCAAGAAGGGUAUGCUGGUGAAAUCGUUCUGGAAUCCCUGGAUAACAUAAGAUGUCAUUCCCUGACCUUCACAUACAAAAGAUAUCCUGACUGUAUGUUUCUUCUUGGAUCACAAAGUGCCCUCCCCAAACUCUGUAGCUGCCUUCGUUGUCUCUUAGCUUUUGGUGUCUCCAAAACUCAUCUGAAAAAGGCGUCAUUUUUGUUCCCUUUGUUCGUGUCAUCUUUUCGCUACCUUGCUGCUUGAGCAAUUUUUUGCCUUUCCUUGUAAUCCAUGAAAAUUGAAUGAAGCAAUUUAUAUAUGGUCAUCCCCGCUUAUCCUCCGGGUAUGCAUUCCAAGACCCCCAGUGGAUGCCUGAAAUCGCGAAUAGUACUGAACCAUAUAUAUAUAUAUAUAUAUAUAUAUAUA